ACAAAAGUUUUGAUGAGGACACGAGUUUUAUUUUACGGUUCAAAGAGAGGGAAGUAGUGCUGAGAGCUUCCUAACACGAAAAUAAUUCUUACCACCUCUGAACUUCAGUAGGGAACUAAUAGUAUCUACUGACGGCUACAACCGUUAUUUCUCAUGAGCUACUAGGAUAGAAGUUCAAAAAGAGGAUAACGAGAGGCGAGAAGGUCGAGGAAGCGUAGCUACGAGCAUAAGCUUGCACUCCGUAAGCAUAUGCACCGCACGAAGGAAAAGUUUUUUCUUUUCCGAGCAACGGAGCGUAUUUUAGUAAUACGUGAGUAGCGGAGUAGCAAGCUGACGAAGAGACCGCUGUCUAUCGUUACCGCAUUUUUUGAACACCCAUAGUAGAAAUGAGGGUGGAACCACGAGCACACACUCGUCCCUUUG
Molecule: non-coding RNA, 423 nt
Filed under: Anaerobacillus arseniciselenatis
Lineage: Bacteria; Bacillati; Bacillota; Bacilli; Caryophanales; Bacillaceae
Description: T-box sequence
Rfam family: T-box leader
About the family: Uncharged tRNA acts as the effector for transcription antitermination of genes in the T-box leader family. T-boxes are found upstream of many aminoacyl-tRNA synthetase genes and some amino acid biosynthetic genes usually in Gram-positive bacteria.
Source: RNAcentral